This 211-nucleotide ribosomal RNA is filed under the name uncultured bacterium. RNAcentral's name for it is "partial 16S ribosomal RNA". It matches the Rfam family "Bacterial small subunit ribosomal RNA", at positions 1290 to 1500 of the family's 1533-position model. The record is from RNAcentral.
AGUUCGGAUUGCAGGCUGCAACCCGCCUGCAUGAAGUUGGAAUCGCUAGUAANCGCGGAUCAGCAUGCCGCGGUGAAUACGUUCCCGGGCCUUGUACACACCGCCCGUCACACCAUGAGAGUCGGGAACACCCGAAGUCCGUAGCCUGACCGCAAGGGGGGCGCGGCCGAAGGUGGGUUCGAUAAUUGGGGUGAAGUCGUAACAAGGUAAC